RNAcentral lists this ribosomal RNA (468 nucleotides) under uncultured bacterium. Its description in RNAcentral is "partial 16S ribosomal RNA". It matches the Rfam family "Bacterial small subunit ribosomal RNA", at positions 28 to 507 of the family's 1533-position model. The record is from RNAcentral.
GACGAACGCUGGCGGCGUGCUUAACACAUGCAAGUCGAACGGAAAGGCCCUGCUUUUGUGGGGUGCUCGAGUGGAGAACGGGUGUGUAACACGUGAGUAACCUGCUCUUGACUUUGGUAUAACUUCAGGAAACUGGGGCUAAUACCGGAUAGGAGCUCCUGGUGCAUGGUGGGGGGUGGAAAGUUUCGGCGGUUGGGGAUGGACUCGCGGCAUAUCAGCUUGUUGGUGGGGUAGUGGCUUACCAAGGCCUUGACGGGUAGCCGGCCUGAGAGGGUGACCGGCCACAUUGGGACUGAGAUACGGCCCAGACUCCUACGGGAGGCAGCAGUGGGGAAUAUUGCACAAUGGGCGGAAGCCUGAUGCAGCAACGCCGCGUGCGGGAUGACGGCCUUCGGGUUGUAAACCGCUUUCGCCUGGGACGAAGCGUGAGUGACGGUAAUGGGUAAAGAAGCACCGGCUAACUACGUG